AACGGCCAUACCAUGCUGAAUAUAUCGGUUCCCGUUAGAUCACCGAAGUCAAGCAUCAUUGGGCGCGGUCAGUACUUGGCUGGGUGACCACCUGGGAACACCGCGUGCCGUU
RNAcentral lists this ribosomal RNA (112 nucleotides) under Caerostris darwini. The record is from RNAcentral. Lineage: Eukaryota; Metazoa; Arthropoda; Arachnida; Araneae; Araneidae.